GACGAACGCUGGCGGCGUGCUUAACACAUGCAAGUCGAACGGAAAGGCCCUGCUUGCAGGGUACUCGAGUGGCGAACGGGUGAGUAACACGUGGGUGAUCUGCCCUGCACUUCGGGAUAAGCCUGGGAAACUGGGUCUAAUACCGGAUAGGAGCCAUUUUUAGUGUGAUGGUUGGAAAGUUUUUUCGGUGUUGGAUGAGCUCGCGGCCUAUCAGCUUGUUGGUGAGGUAAUGGCCUACCAAGGCGGCGACGGGUAGCCGGCCUGGGAGGGUGGACGGCCACAUUGGGACUGAGAUACGGCCCAGACUCCUACGGGAGGCAGCAGUGGGGAAUAUUGCACAAUGGGCGCAAGCCUGAUGCAGCGACGCCGCGUGGGGGAUGACGGCCUUCGGGUUGUAAACUCCUUUCGCUAGGGACGAAGCUUUUUGUGACGGUACCUAGAUAAGAAGCACCGGCAAACUACGU
This 464-nucleotide ribosomal RNA is filed under the name uncultured bacterium. Its description in RNAcentral is "partial 16S ribosomal RNA". It matches the Rfam family "Bacterial small subunit ribosomal RNA", at positions 28 to 506 of the family's 1533-position model. The record is from RNAcentral.